GACAGUGGGGGCAAGCGUUGCUCGGAAUUACUGGGCGUAAAGGGCGCGUAGGCGGGAUGGCAAGUCGGUCGUGAAAGCCUUCGGCUCAACCGAAGAACGUCGGCCGAUACUGCCGUUCUUGAGGGAUGCAGAGGAGACUGGAAUUCCCGGUGUAGCGGUGAAAUGCGCAGAUAUCGGGAGGAACACCAAUUGCGAAGGCAGCUUGCUGGGACGGUACUGACGCUGAGGCGCGAAAGCGUGGGGAGCAAACAGG
This 253-nucleotide ribosomal RNA is filed under the name uncultured bacterium. Its description in RNAcentral is "partial 16S ribosomal RNA". It matches the Rfam family "Bacterial small subunit ribosomal RNA", at positions 524 to 776 of the family's 1533-position model. The record is from RNAcentral.